Non-coding RNA from Glutinoglossum americanum, 83 nucleotides. The record is from the annotation of a GenBank genome assembly. NCBI's taxonomy places the organism in Eukaryota, Fungi, Ascomycota, Geoglossomycetes, Geoglossales, Geoglossaceae.
UCCGAAUUGGUGUAGUGGUUCGCAUACCUCGCUCUCAACAAGUGAUCGCCGAGGCGACCCGGGUUCGAUUCCCGGAUUCGGAA